Molecule: ribosomal RNA, 686 nt
Filed under: uncultured Aeromonas sp.
Lineage: Bacteria; Pseudomonadati; Pseudomonadota; Gammaproteobacteria; Aeromonadales; Aeromonadaceae
Description: bacterial SSU rRNA
Rfam family: Bacterial small subunit ribosomal RNA
Source: RNAcentral
CAGGCCUAACACAUGCAAGUCGAGCGGCAGCGGGAAAGUAGCUUGCUACUUUUGCCGGCGAGCGGCGGACGGGUGAGUAAUGCCUGGGGAUCUGCCCAGUCGAGGGGGAUAACAGUUGGAAACGACUGCUAAUACCGCAUACGCCCUACGGGGGAAAGGAGGGGACCUUCGGGCCUUUCGCGAUUGGAUGAACCCAGGUGGGAUUAGCUAGUUGGUGGGGUAAUGGCUCACCAAGGCGACGAUCCCUAGCUGGUCUGAGAGGAUGAUCAGCCACACUGGAACUGAGACACGGUCCAGACUCCUACGGGAGGCAGCAGUGGGGAAUAUUGCACAAUGGGGGAAACCCUGAUGCAGCCAUGCCGCGUGUGUGAAGAAGGCCUUCGGGUUGUAAAGCACUUUCAGCGAGGAGGAAAGGUUGGCAGCUAAUAUCUGUCAGCUGUGACGUUACUCGCAGAAGAAGCACCGGCUAACUCCGUGCCAGCAGCCCGCGGUAAUACGGAGGGUGCAAGCGNUAAUCGGAAUUACUGGGCGUAAAGCGCACGCAGGCGGNUGGAUAAGUUAGAUGUGAAAGCCCCGGGCUCAACCUGGGAAUUGCAUUUAAAACUGUUCAGCUAGAGUCUUGNANAGGGGGGUAGAANUCCAGGUGUANCNGGNGAAAAGCGUANAGAUCUGGAGGAAUACCCGGG